RNAcentral lists this ribosomal RNA (2903 nucleotides) under Shigella flexneri 4343-70. RNAcentral's name for it is "bacterial LSU rRNA". It matches the Rfam family "Bacterial large subunit ribosomal RNA". The record is from RNAcentral. Lineage: Bacteria; Pseudomonadati; Pseudomonadota; Gammaproteobacteria; Enterobacterales; Enterobacteriaceae.
UUAAGCGACUAAGCGUACACGGUGGAUGCCCUGGCAGUCAGAGGCGAUGAAGGACGUGCUAAUCUGCGAUAAGCGUCGGUAAGGUGAUAUGAACCGUUAUAACCGGCGAUUUCCGAAUGGGGAAACCCAGUGUGAUUCGUCACACUAUCAUUAACUGAAUCCAUAGGUUAAUGAGGCGAACCGGGGGAACUGAAACAUCUAAGUACCCCGAGGAAAAGAAAUCAACCGAGAUUCCCCCAGUAGCGGCGAGCGAACGGGGAGCAGCCCAGAGCCUGAAUCAGUGUGUGUGUUAGUGGAAGCGUCUGGAAAGGCGUGCGAUACAGGGUGACAGCCCCGUACACAAAAAUGCACAUACUGUGAGCUCGAUGAGUAGGGCGGGACACGUGGUAUCCUGUCUGAAUAUGGGGGGACCAUCCUCCAAGGCUAAAUACUCCUGACUGACCGAUAGUGAACCAGUACCGUGAGGGAAAGGCGAAAAGAACCCCGGACGAGGGGAGUGAAAAAGAACCUGAAACCGUGUACGUACAAGCAGUGGGAGCACGCUUAGGCGUGUGACUGCGUACCUUUUGUAUAAUGGGUCAGCGACUUAUAUUCUGUAGCAAGGUUAACCGAAUAGGGGAGCCGAAGGGAAACCGAGUCUUAACUGGGCGUUAAGUUGCAGGGUAUAGACCCGAAACCCGGUGAUCUAGCCAUGGGCAGGUUGAAGGUUGGGUAACACUAACUGGAGGACCGAACCGACUAAUGUUGAAAAAUUAGCGGAUGACUUGUGGCUGGGGGUGAAAGGCCAAUCAAACCGGGAGAUAGCUGGUUCUCCCCGAAAGCUAUUUAGGUAGCGCCUCGUGAAUUCAUCUCCGGGGGUAGAGCACUGUUUCGGCAAGGGGGUCAUCCCGACUUACCAACCCGAUGCAAACUGCGAAUACCGGAGAAUGUUAUUACGGGAGACACACGGCGGGUGCUAACGUCCGUCGUGAAGAGGGAAACAACCCAGACCGCCAGCUAAGGUCCCAAAGUCAUGGUUAAGUGGGAAACGAUGUGGGAAGGCCCAGACAGCCAGGAUGUUGGCUUAGAAGCAGCCAUCAUUUAAAGAAAGCGUAAUAGCUCACUGGUCGAGUCGGCCUGCGCGGAAGAUGUAACGGGGCUAAACCAUGCACCGAAGCUGCGGCAGCGACGCUUAUGCGUUGUUGGGUAGGGGAGCGUUCUGUAAGCCUGUGAAGGUGUGCUGUGAGGUAUGCUGGAGGUAUCAGAAGUGCGAAUGCUGACAUAAGUAACGAUAAAGCGGGUGAAAAGCCCGCUCGCCGGAAGACCAAGGGUUCCUGUCCAACGUUAAUCGGGGCAGGGUGAGUCGACCCCUAAGGCGAGGCCGAAAGGCGUAGUCGAUGGGAAACAGGUUAAUAUUCCUGUACUUGGUGUUACUGCGAAGGGGGGACGGAGAAGGCUAUGUUGGCCGGGCGACGGUUGUCCCGGUUUAAGCGUGUAGGCUGGUUUUCCAGGCAAAUCCGGAAAAUCAAGGCCGAGGCGUGAUGACGAGGCACUACGGUGCUGAAGCAACAAAUGCCCUGCUUCCAGGAAAAGCCUCUAAGCAUCAGGUAACAUCAAAUCGUACCCCAAACCGACACAGGUGGUCAGGUAGAGAAUACCAAGGCGCUUGAGAGAACUCGGGUGAAGGAACUAGGCAAAAUGGUGCCGUAACUUCGGGAGAAGGCACGCUGAUACGUAGGUGAAGCGACUUGCUCGUGGAGCUGAAAUCAGUCGAAGAUACCAGCUGGCUGCAACUGUUUAUUAAAAACACAGCACUGUGCAAACACGAAAGUGGACGUAUACGGUGUGACGCCUGCCCGGUGCCGGAAGGUUAAUUGAUGGGGUUAGCGCAAGCGAAGCUCUUGAUCGAAGCCCCGGUAAACGGCGGCCGUAACUAUAACGGUCCUAAGGUAGCGAAAUUCCUUGUCGGGUAAGUUCCGACCUGCACGAAUGGCGUAAUGAUGGCCAGGCUGUCUCCACCCGAGACUCAGUGAAAUUGAACUCGCUGUGAAGAUGCAGUGUACCCGCGGCAAGACGGAAAGACCCCGUGAACCUUUACUAUAGCUUGACACUGAACAUUGAGCCUUGAUGUGUAGGAUAGGUGGGAGGCUUUGAAGUGUGGACGCCAGUCUGCAUGGAGCCGACCUUGAAAUACCACCCUUUAAUGUUUGAUGUUCUAACGUGGACCCGUGAUCCGGGUUGCGGACAGUGUCUGGUGGGUAGUUUGACUGGGGCGGUCUCCUCCUAAAGAGUAACGGAGGAGCACGAAGGUUGGCUAAUCCUGGUCGGACAUCAGGAGGUUAGUGCAAUGGCAUAAGCCAGCUUGACUGCGAGCGUGACGGCGCGAGCAGGUGCGAAAGCAGGUCAUAGUGAUCCGGUGGUUCUGAAUGGAAGGGCCAUCGCUCAACGGAUAAAAGGUACUCCGGGGAUAACAGGCUGAUACCGCCCAAGAGUUCAUAUCGACGGCGGUGUUUGGCACCUCGAUGUCGGCUCAUCACAUCCUGGGGCUGAAGUAGGUCCCAAGGGUAUGGCUGUUCGCCAUUUAAAGUGGUACGCGAGCUGGGUUUAGAACGUCGUGAGACAGUUCGGUCCCUAUCUGCCGUGGGCGCUGGAGAACUGAGGGGGGCUGCUCCUAGUACGAGAGGACCGGAGUGGACGCAUCACUGGUGUUCGGGUUGUCAUGCCAAUGGCACUGCCCGGUAGCUAAAUGCGGAAGAGAUAAGUGCUGAAAGCAUCUAAGCACGAAACUUGCCCCGAGAUGAGUUCUCCCUGACCCUUUAAGGGUCCUGAAGGAACGUUGAAGACGACGACGUUGAUAGGCCGGGUGUGUAAGCGCAGCGAUGCGUUGAGCUAACCGGUACUAAUGAACCGUGAGGCUUAACCUU